RNAcentral lists this ribosomal RNA (905 nucleotides) under uncultured organism. RNAcentral describes it as "SSU rRNA". It matches the Rfam family "Bacterial small subunit ribosomal RNA", at positions 555 to 1474 of the family's 1533-position model. The record is from RNAcentral.
GGGGUUUAAAGGGAGCGUAGGCGGAUUGUUAAGUCAGUUGUGAAAGUUUGCGGCUCAACCGUAAAAUUGCAGUUGAUACUGGCAGUCUUGAGUGCAGUAGAGGUGGGCGGAAUUCGUGGUGUAGCGGUGAAAUGCUUAGAUAUCACGAAGAACUCCGAUUGCGAAGGCAGCUCACUGGAGUGUAACUGACGCUGAUGCUCGAAAGUGUGGGUAUCAAACAGGAUUAGAUACCCUGGUAGUCCACACAGUAAACGAUGAAUACUCGCUGUUUGCGAUAUACAGUAAGCGGCCAAGCGAAAGCAUUAAGUAUUCCACCUGGGGAGUACGCCGGCAACGGUGAAACUCAAAGGAAUUGACGGGGGCCCGCACAAGCGGAGGAACAUGUGGUUUAAUUCGAUGAUACGCGAGGAACCUUACCCGGGCUUAAAUUGCAAAUGAAUUAUGGGGAAACCCAUACGCCGCAAGGCAUUUGUGAAGGUGCUGCAUGGUUGUCGUCAGCUCGUGCCGUGAGGUGUCGGCUUAAGUGCCAUAACGAGCGCAACCCUUAUCUUCAGUUACUAACAGGUCAUGCUGAGGACUCUGGAGAGACUGCCGUCGUAAGAUGUGAGGAAGGUGGGGAUGACGUCAAAUCAGCACGGCCCUUACGUCCGGGGCUACACACGUGUUACAAUGGGGGGUACAGAAGGCCGCUACCUGGUGACAGGAUGCCAAUCCCAAAAACCUCUCUCAGUUCGGAUCGAAGUCUGCAACCCGACUUCGUGAAGCUGGAUUCGCUAGUAAUCGCGCAUCAGCCAUGGCGCGGUGAAUACGUUCCCGGGCCUUGUACACACCGCCCGUCAAGCCAUGAAAGCCGGGGGUACCUGAAGUACGUAACCGCAAGGAGCGUCCUAGGGUAAAACUGGUAA